Molecule: ribosomal RNA, 429 nt
Filed under: uncultured archaeon
Lineage: Archaea
Description: bacterial SSU rRNA
Rfam family: Archaeal small subunit ribosomal RNA
Source: RNAcentral
UACCAGCUCUCCGAGUGGUAGGGAUGAUUAUUGGGCUUAAAGCGUCCGUAGCCGGCUUAGCAAGUUUCCUGUUAAACCCAGCGACUCAAUCGUUGGAUCGCGGGAAAUACUACUAGGCUAGGAGGCGGGAGAGGUCAACGGUACUUCUGGGGUAGGGGUGAAAUCCUAUAAUCCCGGGAGGACCACCAGUGGCGAAGGCUGUUGACUAGAACGCGCUCGACGGUGAGGGACGAAAGCUGGGGUAGCAAACCGGAUUAGAUACCCGGGUAGUCCCAGCUGUAAACGAUGCGAGCUAGGUGUUGGGAUGGCUACGGGCCAUUUCAGUGCCGCAGGGAAGCCAUUAAGCUCGCCGCCUGGGGAGUACGGCCGCAAGGCUGAAACUUAAAGGAAUUGGCGGGGGAGCACCACAAGGCGCGAAGCUUGCGGUUC